Molecule: ribosomal RNA, 433 nt
Filed under: uncultured bacterium
Lineage: Bacteria
Description: bacterial SSU rRNA
Rfam family: Bacterial small subunit ribosomal RNA
Source: RNAcentral
AACGAACGCUGGCGGCAUGCCUAACACAUGCAAGUCGAACGAAGGCUUCGGCCUUAGUGGCGCACGGGUGCGUAACGCGUGGGAAUCUGCCCUUGGGUUCGGAAUAACUCAGAGAAAUUUGAGCUAAUACCGGAUGAUGACGUAAGUCCAAAGAUUUAUCGCCCAAGAAUGAGCCCGCGUAAGAUUAGCUAGUUGGUGGGGUAAAGGCCUACCAAGGCGACGAUCUUUAGCUGGUCUGAGAGGAUGAUCAGCCACACUGGGACUGAGACACGGCCCAGACUCCUACGGGAGGCAGCAGUGGGGAAUAUUGGACAAUGGGCGAAAGCCUGAUCCAGCAAUGCCGCGUGAGUGAUGAAGGCCUUAGGGUUGUAAAGCUCUUCUACCAGGGAUGAUAAUGACAGUACCUGGAGAAUAAGCUCCGGCUAACUCCGUG